AACCUGAAGCAAUUGGUUACCAGUUCACUUUAUCAGGGCCGCCCCACAGCUAUUGGCCAUCCAACUGUGGAUAGAGUAAAUAAACGCAUGUAACAUCCAGGCCAGCAGUGCACCAGAGAGCUGAGGACAAGAACCUAACUGGCUCUGCUUGACAAAAAAGGCUUUCAUUACUAUGCCGUGAAGGGAAUAAUUUCCCCUACAAUGUGACCUUCCCCUGCCUACUUCUACCUGAGGCUCCAGAAGGUACAAAGCAAUAUACAGAACUGAGGGACUGACUCUGAGUUUUGGAGAAUGGAGGAGAGUUCGGGCUGUCUGAAGGUCUUUCGAUCGACAGCCACUCAGCAACCUGCCACACUAUCACCGUAUGGACAGAGAGGCUGAGACGCCCCCGUGAUCUACAGUCUCACAGAAAAUCUACCACUUUAAAUCAUCCCUGGCUCCCUGGCCCACCUUCCACCUUUCUACCCCAACAAAUGCAUUGCAUUCAUCUUCACACUUCCCCUGAAACAUUCAUCUCUGGAAGUCAGGGUCUCUUUACACCCAGAAAGUCAGCAGUGCCAGUAUUGCCCCUUAAACACAAUGGAUAACAAACCAUCACAUUUUCUACCACAGUAAUUGGCAGAGCAAAUCCAAAGUGACAAAACAAGCUGCUGUAUUGCAGCUGAUGAGUCUGGUUUUGUUUGGCAGUUACACUUCUGGGCACACGUACAGAGAAAGAAACUGUGGCUGAAAGAGUGGUUUGGUAAUUAAAAUCUAUUGUUUGCAGUGGGAAAUAAUGGGGAUCAAAGGGCCUUGUAUUAGCUACUCCCUCCCCUAACCACUGAGACAACAGGCCAUAUGCCCCAAAGUGAAUGUCUAACAGCCAACUUGCUAAUGGCGGGGGAACGAGGCUUGUAUGGAUGUACUAUACAUUAUAGAAAUAAGGCUCCAAAGAAACUUGAAAGUAUUCCACAAAGAUCCAUGAUUUUACAAAUAAAGCAAUGAAGAUUUUCUGGUAUAAUUUUCCAUGUAAGCUCCACUCUUACUCCAAAAACAUGUUUUUUUCUAACAAA
Monopterus albus (swamp eel) is the source of this 1052-nucleotide long non-coding RNA. RefSeq lists it as uncharacterized. NCBI's taxonomy places the organism in Eukaryota, Metazoa, Chordata, Actinopteri, Synbranchiformes, Synbranchidae. The record is from RefSeq and is a predicted model, not a curated record. The transcript is spliced from 2 exons.